GCGUCAGUCGCAAGAUGAAGCGUUGAAUUGAAGCCCGAGUAAACGGCGGCCGUAACUAUAACGGUCCUAAGGUAGCGAAAUUCCUUGUCGGUUAAAUACCGACCUGCAUGAAUGGCGUAACGAGAUGGGAGCUGUCUCAACCAGAGAUUCAGUGAAAUUGUAGUGGAGGUGAAAAUUCCUCCUACCCGCAGCAAGACGGAAAGACCCCGUGGACCUUUACUACAACUUAGCACUG
This 235-nucleotide ribosomal RNA is filed under the name Helicobacter pylori. Its description in RNAcentral is "partial 23S ribosomal RNA". It matches the Rfam family "Bacterial large subunit ribosomal RNA", at positions 1887 to 2119 of the family's 2925-position model. The record is from RNAcentral. Lineage: Bacteria; Pseudomonadati; Campylobacterota; Epsilonproteobacteria; Campylobacterales; Helicobacteraceae.